Molecule: ribosomal RNA, 482 nt
Filed under: Klebsiella pneumoniae
Lineage: Bacteria; Pseudomonadati; Pseudomonadota; Gammaproteobacteria; Enterobacterales; Enterobacteriaceae
Description: bacterial SSU rRNA
Rfam family: Bacterial small subunit ribosomal RNA
Source: RNAcentral
ACUUAAAUUGAAGAGUUUGAUCAUGGCUCAGAUUGAACGCUGGCGGCAGGCCUAACACAUGCAAGUCGAGCGGUAGCACAGAGAGCUUGCUCUCGGGUGACGAGCGGCGGACGGGUGAGUAAUGUCUGGGAAACUGCCUGAUGGAGGGGGAUAACUACUGGAAACGGUAGCUAAUACCGCAUAACGUCGCAAGACCAAAGUGGGGGACCUUCGGGCCUCAUGCCAUCAGAUGUGCCCAGAUGGGAUUAGCUAGUAGGUGGGGUAACGGCUCACCUAGGCGACGAUCCCUAGCUGGUCUGAGAGGAUGACCAGCCACACUGGAACUGAGACACGGUCCAGACUCCUACGGGAGGCAGCAGUGGGGAAUAUUGCACAAUGGGCGCAAGCCUGAUGCAGCCAUGCCGCGUGUGUGAAGAAGGCCUUCGGGUUGUAAAGCACUUUCAGCGGGGAGGAAGGCGGUGAGGUUAAUAACCUCAUCGAUU